Molecule: transfer RNA, 77 nt
Filed under: Rickettsiales bacterium
Lineage: Bacteria; Pseudomonadati; Pseudomonadota; Alphaproteobacteria; Rickettsiales
Description: tRNA-Pro
Rfam family: tRNA
About the family: Transfer RNA (tRNA) molecules are approximately 80 nucleotides in length. Their secondary structure includes four short double-helical elements and three loops (D, anti-codon, and T loops).
Source: RNAcentral
CGGAGUAUGGCGCAGCCUGGUAGCGCACUUCACUGGGGGUGAAGGGGUCGUAGGUUCAAAUCCUGCUACUCCGACCA